Molecule: ribosomal RNA, 1439 nt
Filed under: uncultured organism
Description: SSU rRNA
Rfam family: Bacterial small subunit ribosomal RNA
Source: RNAcentral
GGCUUAACACAUGCAAGUCGAGGGGCAGCAUGGUCUUAGCUUGCUAAGGCCGAUGGCGACCGGCGCACGGGUGAGUAACACGUAUCCAACCUGCCGUCUACUCUUGGACAGCCUUCUGAAAGGAAGAUUAAUACAAGAUGGCAUCAUGAGUCCGCAUGUUCACAUGAUUAAAGGUAUUCCGGUAGACGAUGGGGAUGCGUUCCAUUAGAUAGUAGGCGGGGUAACGGCCCACCUAGUCUUCGAUGGAUAGGGGUUCUGAGAGGAAGGUCCCCCACAUUGGAACUGAGACACGGUCCAAACUCCUACGGGAGGCAGCAGUGAGGAAUAUUGGUCAAUGGGCGAGAGCCUGAACCAGCCAAGUAGCGUGAAGGAUGACUGCCCUAUGGGCUGUAAACUUCUUUUAUAAAGGAAUAAAGUCGGGUAUGGAUACCCGUUUGCAUGUACUUUAUGAAUAAGGAUCGGCUAACUCCGUGCCAGCAGCCGCGGUAAUACGGAGGAUCCGAGCGUUAUCCGGAUUUAUUGGGUUUAAAGGGAGCGUAGAUGGAUGUUUAAGUCAGUUGUGAAAGUUUGCGGCUCAACCGUAAAAUUGCAGUUGAUACUGGAUAUCUUGAGUGCAGUUGAGGCAGGCGGAAUUCGUGGUGUAGCGGUGAAAUGCUUAGAUAUCACGAAGAACUCCGAUUGCGAAGGCAGCCUGCUAAGCUGCAACUGACAUUGAGGCUCGAAAGUGUGGGUAUCAAACAGGAUUAGAUACCCUGGUAGUCCACACGGUAAACGAUGAGUACUCGCUGUUUGCGAUAUACAGCAAGCGGCCAAGCGAAAGCGUUAAGUAUUCCACCUGGGGAGUACGCCGGCAACGGUGAAACUCAAAGGAAUUGACGGGGGCCCGCACAAGCGGAGGAACAUGUGGUUUAAUUCGAUGAUACGCGAGGAACCUUACCCGGGCUUAAAUUGCAGAUGAAUUACGGUGAAAGCCGUAAGCCGCAAGGCAUCUGUGAAGGUGCUGCAUGGUUGUCGUCAGCUCGUGCCGUGAGGUGUCGGCUUAAGUGCCAUAACGAGCGCAACCCUUGUUGUCAGUUACUAACAGGUUCCGCUGAGGACUCUGACAAGACUGCCAUCGUAAGAUGUGAGGAAGGUGGGGAUGACGUCAAAUCAGCACGGCCCUUACGUCCGGGGCUACACACGUGUUACAAUGGGGGGUACAGAGGGCCGCUACCACGCGAGUGGAUGCCAAUCCCAAAAACCUCUCUCAGUUCGGACUGGAGUCUGCAACCCGACUCCACGAAGCUGGAUUCGCUAGUAAUCGCGCAUCAGCCACGGCGCGGUGAAUACGUUCCCGGGCCUUGUACACACCGCCCGUCAAGCCAUGGGAGCCGGGGGUACCUGAAGUGCGUAACCGCGAGGAGCGCCCUAGGGUAAAACUGGUGACUGGGGCUAAGUAA